This 403-nucleotide ribosomal RNA is filed under the name Fusobacteriota bacterium. Its description in RNAcentral is "Fusobacteria bacterium partial 16S ribosomal RNA". It matches the Rfam family "Bacterial small subunit ribosomal RNA", at positions 355 to 776 of the family's 1533-position model. The record is from RNAcentral. Lineage: Bacteria; Fusobacteriati; Fusobacteriota.
UGGGGAAUCUUGCACAAUGGGGGAAACCCUGAUGCAGCGACGCCGCGUGAGCGAUGAAGGUUUUCGAAUCGUAAAGCUCUGUCCUAUGGGAAGAUAAUGACGGUACCAUGGGAGGAAGCCCCGGCUAACUACGUGCCAGCAGCCGCGGUAAUACGUAGGGGGCGAGCGUUGUCCGGAAUUACUGGGCGUAAAGGGUUCGCAGGCGGCAUGGCAAGUCCGAUGUAAAAGGCGAAGGCUCAACCUUCGUAAGCAUCGGAAACUGUCAAGCUUGAGUGAAGGAGAGGCAAGUGGAAUUCCUAGUGUAGCGGUGGAAUGCGUAGAUAUUAGGAGGAAUACCGAUGGCGAAGGCGACUUGCUGGACUUCAACUGACGCUGAGGAACGAAAGCGUGGGUAGCAAACAGG